RNAcentral lists this long non-coding RNA (643 nucleotides) under Equus caballus (horse). Its description in RNAcentral is "lncRNA (ENSECAG00000048854.1)". The record is from RNAcentral. Lineage: Eukaryota; Metazoa; Chordata; Mammalia; Perissodactyla; Equidae.
GGAGAACUAGGUGGCUUUCUGAUCAGAGUUCAGAUAAAGAGGGUCACAGUAAUUUGCGGGCACUGCCUAAAAUAACCCAAUGGAUUCGAGAGUUGCAGCCAAAGAAGCAAACAAACAAAAAAGAGCCAAACAAAGAUGAUGAGCUUUAUGAGAUUAUAAACGGCAAGGGGGUAAAACAGCACCAGAAUGGGAAUCUAACAUCUGAAAGUCAUUUUCCAAAACUUCAUUCAGCACGGGAACAAUGCCGCAUUCAGGCGUAAUGAGCUGAGAAGGCGUGGUGCGCCAGGUCAAACUGGCGGUCUCUGAGCUCCUCUCAACGGAGUGCUUUGCCAAGAUGACAAGAGGGAAUGAAACAGAAGUUUGAAGAUGCAAAAUAAAAUAAGGCCAAAGACCUAAAGCAUUUUGUUUGAGCAAAGUUGUGCAAAGAACUAGAAGCCAGUCUAGAAGGGGAGUAGAUGAUAUGGACUGCACCCUACAUCGGAGCUCUCCGAAGUUAAAGCGAGAUCUCAACUAUGUUCCUGUUUUGCCUUUCCUGAAGUCAAACAAAUGUUCAAUAGCCACGUGGAUAUUUGGCUUGUUAUUUGUUCAUUCAUUCAUUCAGCAUUUAUGGAAUCCUAGCUGUAUACUAAUCAUUGCAUUUGGC